Aotus nancymaae (Ma's night monkey) is the source of this 273-nucleotide unclassified non-coding RNA. It matches the Rfam family "Metazoan signal recognition particle RNA". Rfam says of the family: The signal recognition particle (SRP) is a universally conserved ribonucleoprotein. NCBI's taxonomy places the organism in Eukaryota, Metazoa, Chordata, Mammalia, Primates, Aotidae. The record is from Ensembl.
GCCACCACACUCACAGUCCCAGCUUCUCUGGAGGCUGAGGCAGGGAGAUCACUUGAGCCCUGGAGUUCUAGGCUGCCAUGAGCCAUGCCAGGUGUCUGCACUAUGUUCAGCAGCAAUAUGGUGACCUCCUGGGAAUGAGGGGCCACCAGGUUCCCUAAGGAGGAGUAAACCAUCCUAGGUGGGAAACAGAGCAGGUCAAAACUCCCAUGCAAGACUGCAUCUGUUAAGAGCCACUGCACUUCAGCCUGAGUGGAACAGCAAGACUUCAUCCCU